RNAcentral lists this ribosomal RNA (457 nucleotides) under uncultured bacterium. RNAcentral describes it as "partial 16S ribosomal RNA". It matches the Rfam family "Bacterial small subunit ribosomal RNA", at positions 338 to 795 of the family's 1533-position model. The record is from RNAcentral.
CCUACGGGAGGCAGCAGUGGGGAAUAUUGCACAAUGGGGGAAACCCUGAUGCAGCGACGCCGCGUGAGUGAAGAAGUAUUUCGGUAUGUAAAGCUCUAUCAGCAGGGAAGAAAUAAAGUUCUUCGGACUUUGGACGGUACCUGACUAAGAAGCCCCGGCUAACUACUUGCCAGCAGCCGCGGUAAUACGUAGGGGGCAAGCGUUAUCCGGAUUUACUGGGUGUAAAGGGAGCGUAGACGGAAGCGCAAGUCUGGAGUGAAAUCCCAUGGCUUAACCAUGGAACUGCUGUGGAAACUGUGCAGCUGGAGUGCAGGAGAGGUAAGCGGAAUUCCUAGUGUAGCGGUGAAAUGCGUAGAUAUUAGGAGGAACACCAGUGGCGAAGGCGGCUUACUGGACUGUAACUGACGUUGAGGCGCGAAAGCGUGGGGAGCAAACAGGAUUAGAUACCCUUGUAGUC